RNAcentral lists this ribosomal RNA (253 nucleotides) under uncultured bacterium. RNAcentral describes it as "partial 16S ribosomal RNA". It matches the Rfam family "Bacterial small subunit ribosomal RNA", at positions 524 to 776 of the family's 1533-position model. The record is from RNAcentral.
UACGUAGGGAGCAAGCGUUGUUCGGAUUUACUGGGCGUAAAGGGCGCGUAGGCGGCAAAUUAAGUCAGCUGUGAAAUCUCCGAGCUUAACUCGGAACGGUCAGCUGAUACUGAUCUGCUAGAGUGCGGAAGGGGCAAUCGGAAUUCUUGGUGUAGCGGUGAAAUGCGUAGAUAUCGGGAGGAACACCAAUUGCGAAGGCAGCUCGCUGGGACGUCACUGACGCUGAGACGCGAAAGCGUGGGGAGCAAACAGG